UGUGAUAAGAGAAGACAAAUCAAUUGCAACGUCUGUAUUUUUAUUGAGUACAAUUUUGGUCUUUAUACAUAUUCAGAAACUUUUGAUAUUCUAGGAAACAUAAUUGUAAAUACUAUUAACUUGUCUACCUGUCUCUUGACCUUCCAAAUCUCUCCAUUUAACUUAUUAAUAAAACUAUUAUUUAUAACAUUAAAGUUUUCAACAAAACUCCUCCUGUCACUUAAAUGUUUUUUUCCAUUCAUCAAUCCCUCUGCAAUUUUCUUGCCUCCUGGUCGAAGAUUUCUUUUGAUCAUGGUUUUGUGAAUAAUGUCUCCUGCUUGGUCCCUUCCUGCUACAUGCUUCAUUCGACAUUUCUUCUUCACGUGUUCUCGAUGAAUGGAAACGAACGUCAUGUGUUUGCUCCUUUCCAUGGUUUACUGGAUUUUUGCUACCAAUGCUGGACCCUGUUGUCACGUGUUAUUGUAGCAUCUGUCUGUUCUAUGUCCAAUUUUAUCAUCAAUCUUCUGAGCCAUAUUGCAUGAAAACGCACCACGAUGCUGCUACAUAUUCUGCUCACAUGUUCGAAAGUGUUACUCUGGUUGCUUUUUAAACAAGCCAAGUAAAUGCCAGUAUUCCCAUGAAAAACACAGUAUCCAGAAGUGCUUUUUCGAUCAUCUAAUGUCUCCGCACCAAUCACUGUCAAGUAACCACCCAAUUGUAUUUCCUAACUUCGGUAAAACAUCCCAAGUGCGACACUGUUCCUUUGGAAUGCCUCAGACUUCGCUUCAAUGCUUCCAAUGUGUGAAACUGGCUCCUCCCGAAUCGACUUACAAUGCCUACACUUAAUGAGCAAUCUGGUUCUUGUACAUGUGAAUAGCGAAGACUUCCUACCAAACUCCGAUAUUUGCCUGCUCGACCACGUCUCCCUCCAUCAAAUUUCGACAAAUUUUGUGUUCCUGGUUCCAUUGGCGUCGAAGCGGAUUCAGCUUUCCAUCUUAUAUUUUUUCAAGAUUUCUUGGCUAUUUUUCUUGUAGAUGAAGAUCCUGGUUCUUCCUUGUCGAACUUCCAGACCAAAAGAUCUCAUCAGGCCUAAAUCUGUCCAUCUCGAAUUACGGUGUCAAUUGGUGGCUUUGUAUGAUUCCUUCUAUAUCUGAAUCAUUAUAGCCAGAAAAUAGAUCACACUAGAGAGCAAACAAGUAAUAAUUCCAUUCCAUUUUCUUGUCACAAUAGAGCAUGUCGCGAGCAUUGUCAGAACCCGUCUCCUUGAAAUAUGUGUCGAUACGUGUGUUCCAUGCUCGCGUGCUUGCUUCAGCCCAUAUAGCGCUUUCUUCAAUUUCAGUACCUCUUCUCUUCUCCAGCUGCAUUAUCCGAGUGGUGUGUCGACAUAGACUUCUUCUCUAGUACACCAUUCAGAAAGCUGUUUUGACAUCCAUUGGAAAUUUGGCCAUUUGAAUUGAGCAGCUUGAGAUAUGAGUAAUCGAAUUGUCUCCAUUCUUGCAACAGGUGAAAUAUUCGUCAUAAAUCAACUUCCUGCUUUCUGUUUGUAUCCUUCGCAACAAGUCUCGCUUUGUAUCGUUCUAUUUCUCCUGAGCGUUCAUCUUUUUCUUGAAUACCCACUUUACACCAAUGGGUUGACUACUCUUUGGAAAUUCAACUAGCUCCAAGUGUUGUUGUGGAUAAUCGCCCUCAUCUCUUCGUCCAUGGUACUUUCCACUUUUGUCUCGUACUGUCUCAAAACUGAUGUUUUCAGCAUCUGCCAAAAGACAUACAAGGUGCCACUUCACUUGGCAUCAUACAGAUCUGCAACUUCGCAUUUGGUUGUGUAGGUUCAUCUUCAUGUCAGAAUCUCCAGUUUUGUCGAAAUGUUUGGUGGUACAUCGACAUAUGAUUUUCAACUCGACAACAGCUUCUGUCGAACUGUUCCAGUCCCACUUACUUGCUCGUUUAUGUCGAACGUCUCUACUCACUAUCACUUUCUUUCUUAUGGGAUCAAAUAGCUUGUACCUUUUGUUUUCUCAUCAUACCCAAUGAGUAGUAUUUUUGACUUUUGUCUUCAGUUUCGUUCUUCGUUGAUCUGGUACGUGUGCAUAAGCAACACUUCCAAAUACUUUGAGAUGAGAGACUGUUAGCUUCUGUCCGCUCCACGCUUCUUGUGGUGUUUGAUCUUCUAACUUCGAAUGUGGACAUCGAUUUGAACAAAUGGCACAUUGUACAACUUCUGCCCAAAAUUCCUUUGGCAUGUUCUUGCUUUUAAGCAUUGAACGAACCAUGUAAAGGACUGUUCGAUUCUUCCUUUCAGUCACCCCAUUUGUUGAGGUGAGUAUGCUGCAGUUAGAAAUCUCCUUAUACCCUGCUCUUCACAUACUUCAUAAAAGCUGUCGAAGUAUACUCACCACCUCUAUCAGAUCGAACUGCUUUAAUGUGUCUGUCGAUUUCCUCUCUACCCUUACUUUGAACCUUUGAACACUCGAAUGCUUCAGACUUUUCUUUCAAGAAAUAAACCCAUGUCUUCCGUGAGUAAUCGUCGAUAAAGGAAAUAAAGUACUUUUGCUACCUGAAGAUUCUGGCGUGAUUGGCCCACAUAUGUCGGUGUGAAUCAAAUCAAGGAUAUGCUUAGCUUGAUAUUCUGCCUUCUUUUGAAAUGAAGUUCUUGUUUGUUUGCUAAGCCACAAUUCUUCACAAACUUUCCUUCAUAAUCCAUAUCUGGUAGUCCAUGCACCAUGUUCUUUUUCGCCAACCUUCUUAAACCAGCAUGAUGUAGAUGACCAAAGCGUAGAUGCCAUAGUGACGCUUUGUCUUCGACACUUACUUGUAAACAUUUUCUCGAAUGUUUAUUAGAUUCAGUUUGUACAUUCGAUUUCUCUCAUUCGAUAACGAGCUCAGAUGUCCCAGUUUGUCCUUCAAAACAGUAUCCGUUCUUUCAUAAGUAUCGAAUAACCUUUUCUGUAAGUUGUCAAACUCAAGAUGUUGGUCUUAAGAUUUGGUACAUAAUAAACAUCUUGAAUUGAUCCAAUCAACCCAUCUUUCUGCAAGUAACGUAUCGUUCCUUGCCUUCGACCUUCACUUUCGAUGCAUCUCCGAAAGACACAUUUCCAUCUUCAAUCUUUCUCAUUUCUCUUAAACAAGUGUUUGUGACCACACAUAUGGUUAUUGCUCCUGAGUCAAGAUACCAACGUUGUCAUUUGUGUUGAUCUCAUUUUGAGCCAUCAAGAGAAAACCUUCAUUUGCUUCAGCUUCCAAAGUUAGUGGUUGUUUCUUCUACCUUCUUUUCGAUUCGAUAAUCUUUUGCGAGAUGUCCCACUUUAUCAAGUUAUAGCAUUUGAAUGAGUUGCAAUCCUUCGCAUAAUGACCAUACUUCCCACACUUGUAGCAUUCAAAGUUGGAAUGGUUCGACCUACCACCUCUUUGACCACGUCCUCUGCCACGCCAAUUUUGCUGGAUCGACUGUCCUCUCUCCGAAGUUGCUGCCUCUACCACUUCGAACAUUGUCACGUCCUCCACGACCACGUCCUCUUCCUCGAAAGUUUUGAGAAAAAGUACCUUUUCGUCUUUGAUUUGCUCCUUGGUUUGAUUUGCAUCCUCUACUCCUUCUUCCUUCUUUUUCAUCUUACGUUGUUCGUGUGCUUCGAGGGAACCAGCGAGCUCUUCGACUGCGAGCGCCGAAAGGUCCUUCGACUCUUCUAUUGCACACACAAUAUUCUCAAAUUUAUCUGUUAAAGAUCUCAAGAUCUUUUCGACAACUCGUGCAUCAGUUACUGUUUCACCAUUUCUAGUGAGUUGGUUCACCACCUUUUGUACACGCGUGAUGUAGUCAGAUAUAUUUUCUGACUCCUUCAUCUGCAUCCUCUCCAAUUCGCCACGAAGUGUUUGGAGUCGAACUUGCUUUACUCGAUCUGCUCCUUUGAACACUUUCUCCAGUGUGUCCCACGCUUCUUUUGACGUAGUCGAACCGGCAAUCUUUUCGAAGCCUGAUUCAUCAACAGCCCUAAACAGCAUGUAGAGUGCCGUUUUAUCCUUCGAUCGCGUCUCUUUCAACGCCUUGUUUUGAGCUGCCGUAUAUCCCUCAGUAUCUGUUGGUUCUUCAAACCCAUCUUUGGUUACCUCCCACGCGUCUAGAGAUCCGAGAAGAGCUUUCAUUUGGAUACUCCAGUUUUCGUAAUUCAACUUUGUUAGCCGUGGCAACGGCAUUUGAUUCAUCAUAUUUGCCAUUAGCUCUGAUGCCAAUUUGUGAUAAGAGAAGACAAAUCAAUUGCAACGUCUGUAUUUUUAUUGAGUACAAUUUUGGUCUUUAUGCAUAUUCAGAAACUUUUGAUAUUCUAGGAAACAUAAUUGUAAAUACUAUUAACUUGUCUACUGUCUCUUGACCUUCCAAAUCUCUCCAUUUAACUUAUUAAUAAAACCUAUUAAUUCUAACAUUAAAAAAACUUUUGAUAUUCUAGGAAACAUAAUUGUAAAUACUAUUAACUUGUCUACUGUCUCUUGACCUUCCAAAUCUCUCCAUUUAACUUAUUAAUAAAACCUAUUAAUUCUAACAU
This 4514-nucleotide long non-coding RNA is filed under the name Lathyrus oleraceus (garden pea). RNAcentral's name for it is "Pisum sativum (pea) long non-coding RNA (PSAT_LNC031569)". The record is from RNAcentral. Lineage: Eukaryota; Viridiplantae; Streptophyta; Magnoliopsida; Fabales; Fabaceae.